This 406-nucleotide unclassified non-coding RNA is filed under the name Rigiopappus leptocladus. RNAcentral describes it as "partial external transcribed spacer". Lineage: Eukaryota; Viridiplantae; Streptophyta; Magnoliopsida; Asterales; Asteraceae. The record is from RNAcentral.
UUUGAUACGGGUGGUCGGCUCCCUGCUUGAGCAGGCACGGCCAUGCGUGCAUUCCUUUUCAGAUGUGCGACAAGGCUUGUAUCGUCUUGAUCGUAUAAGUGGGUUUGUUGUGUUGCAUACCUGAUCAAUGGCAUCGUUAUGAUCAAAAGUGUAUCUUUUUCGUCUAGCAAUGCACCCGCAUUGUUGGAUGAACCGAGUAGCAUCCUCUUUGAUCCAUACAGUUGACGUGCAUUCGUUGAUUGUUUGGCCCGUUGAGCGUGACUUGGUCUCUUGGAUAUGGAAGCCAAAGUGGGCAUGGGUUCGCAAGAUCCCUUUACUGCCCUCAUUGAGCGUUCUCGCUUCUCUUACACGACCGCCUUUCACGUAUGGCACGUCCCAGCGUGUUUGGCUACGUCGAAGAGGAAUG